Molecule: long non-coding RNA, 443 nt
Organism: Bos taurus (domestic cattle)
Lineage: Eukaryota; Metazoa; Chordata; Mammalia; Artiodactyla; Bovidae
Source: Ensembl
AGCGGGGCUUGGUGUCCGGCUCUGAGCCAGGGCUUGAUGCACCCGGCUACCCCUGCAGCUGGAGGGAUCCCUGAGACCCCAGGAGAGCAGGAGAGGAGGCGCCCGGCCCCGCACGUGGCUGCGGGGGAAGCUGCUGCGGGGGGAUGCGGAGGUCGUCCCAGGAGGCCUGCUCCGGAGAGCCACCUGGCAAGGACCCGAGGCCCUCAGUCCAACAGCCAACAAAAAACUGAAUCCUGCCAACAACCAUGUGAGUGAGCUUGGAGUGGAUCCUGUUCCAGCUGAGCCUUGAGACGAGACUGCAACCCCCACUGACACUUUGACUGCAGCUUGUCAGAAAAGCUGAGUGGACACCUUGAUUGCAAUCUCCUGAGAGAUUCUGUGGCAGAUGACCCCCGUUGGCCCAUGUCUGUAAUCCUGACCCACAGAGACUGUGAGAUCAUCAG